GAGUUAGGAAAUGUAAGUGUGCUAAUACCACAUUUAUUUGACGAAGGCUCCAAAGGAAGCCACGGCUAACUCUGUGCCAGCAGCCGUGGUAAUACAGAGGUGGCAAGCGUUGUUCGGAAUUAUUGGGCGUAAAGAGCACGUAGGUGGGUUUGUAAGUCAGAUGUGAAAGCCUUCUGUUCAACGGAAGAAUUGCAUCUGAAACUGCGAAUCUUGAGUGUAGGAGGGGAGAGUGGAACUUCUGGU
This 243-nucleotide ribosomal RNA is filed under the name uncultured anaerobic ammonium-oxidizing bacterium. RNAcentral's name for it is "partial 16S ribosomal RNA". It matches the Rfam family "Bacterial small subunit ribosomal RNA", at positions 440 to 674 of the family's 1533-position model. The record is from RNAcentral.